AAGACACCGAUCAUCUACUUCCGGCUGUCUUCCGCUGUCUCCUGGCUUGUGAUGCUAGCUGUUAGCCGUUUCAUGCUAGGCAGGGACAUGUGUGGCUCUGAUAAAACAAGACCACUUAGUUUAAAGUUUCUAAAACCGGAAGACAUGUAGCGGCAACUGUAGACGAAACACUGUGACUUUGUUUGUUUUUUUAAAGCGUAAUUGUGCAUCAAAAACCACCAGGCUUCACAUUAUUGUAGCUAGUUGACAAACAGCAACGUCAAGGUGCGCUACUCACAACCAUCACAGGACAGUGCUCAUCUGUCCCCCACUAACUAAACAUUAGGACGACGACUCCCCAAGAUCAAAAAAAUGCCUUCGAGAAAUCAUCUUGACAAAAUCGGGAGGAAGAAGAAGAAGAAAUGGACAGAGGAGGCCAUGGAGCGUGCACUGGUCGAGGUGAAGUCGGGAAGGUGUACAGUGAGACAGGCUGCCAAAGAGUUUGGAGUCCCUAAAUCUUCCCUGGGGGACAGAGUGAGUGGACGGGUGACACCAGGGAGUCGCAGCGGGCCAGCUCAGCUUAUAACAUCUGACGACGAGGAGCUGUUGGUGGAGUUCUCUUUAUACAUGUCCAAGCAUGGAUUCCCGCUGACAAAGCAACAGCUGGUGUCCUUUGCCUCCUCCAUUUACAAGCGGCAGCAUCGGAGAGUGGCAUUUUCUAAACUAGGCCAGACCUGGUGGCUCAAUUUUAGAAAACGGCAAGAAAAGAAUAUUACCAUUCAGCCAGCAGACAAUGUUGUUCGUGGGAGGACAGUAUGUGUGAGAAAGGAAGCAGUGGAUCAGUUUUUACACUUACUGAGCACUGUCAUGGACGCUCAUGGGCUCAGAGACAAGCCUCAUCAAAUUUUCAACUGCAAUGAGACGGGCUUUCAGCUGGGCAGGAAGAGGGUGAUUCUCCCCAAAUCUGCCAGUCUGGGCUACAAGCCAACGUCAGGCUCGAGGGACCACAUCUCCGCCCUGGCUUGCUUUAGCGCAGCUGGAGAGGACAUUCCCCCAUUUAUUAUCUACUCAAAGGCAUACCCAGGGGGAGUAUGUUACAAGACUCAAGGGCCUCCAAACGCCCUCUAUGGAUGGUCAGACUUGGGGUGUAUCAACUCUGACCUUUUCAAGAAAUGGUUCCUCAAACACUUCCUCCUGCACGCACCGAAGGAGCGUCCUUUGCUGCUGAUUUUCGACGGCCACAAGUCUCCUGUGAACCUUGAGGUGGUGGAAGCUGCUCGUAAGGAGGACGUCAUCCUUCUGUGUCUUCCGCCUCACUGCUCUCACAUCCUGCAGCCACUCGACGCGGGUCUCUUCGGUCUCCUGAAGCAGCGUUUCGCAGCACUCAUAGGUCGGCUGUGUCAGCGCAGAGUGGAGUCGAGCCUCCUCUGGGUCUCUGUCUCACGCAGGCAGGCAGGUAGAGAUGCUUCACCCUGAGCCCCCACCCCCUGUCAGUUCAGAUUCCACCCCCUGUUUGUGUGAAGGAUGCUGCUCUGCAGGUUGAUCGAGUGGGUUGGUUGCUUAUCAUGACAAUCAAGAGACGGGUAUCAUUGUUUUAUAGUUUUGUGUUUCUGCGAGCUUGACAUAUGACAGCGCAGAGUUGACAGGGUUUGUAAACCAACUAGCUUUUGCAUGCAUGGUUCAGAUGUGUGAGACAACUUACACCAUUUAAACCAACCCUACAAUUUAGUGUAGUGGUGUUUUUUCCCCCACUGACUUUAGCCUUGGAAUAUAUAGUUACCACUCUACAAAUGUGGCCAAAAAAUUCAACCGUGCAGUUUAUGAGCUGAAGACACAUUUAUAUUACUUUUUUUUUUUUAAAUGUAUGUAUUAACGUUUAUAUUUUAGCCCUAUUUUUGAACAUUUUAGGUCUUGUAUUCUCGUUUAGUUUUUACUUGUGUAAUUUUCCCUUUUAUAAAUGAGCAAUGUUGGAGGGAGCCUGAGAUCCAAGAUGUUCAUUGCCAUUGACUGCUUCUCUGUUAUGGUUGCACAUAUUUUAAUAAAGAACUUGAAA
Molecule: long non-coding RNA, 2032 nt
Filed under: Cottoperca gobio
Lineage: Eukaryota; Metazoa; Chordata; Actinopteri; Perciformes; Bovichtidae
Description: lncRNA (ENSCGOG00000018834.1)
Source: RNAcentral